GUAGUCUCGCACAGAUGCAUAUCAAUAAGCGGAGGAAAAGAAACUAACAAGGAUUCCCCUAGUAACGGCGAGUGAAGCGGGAAGAGCUCAAAUUUGAAAUCUUAAAGGGUUUCCCUUUACGAAUUGUAGUUUAAAGAAGUGUUUUCUGUUGAGGUUUUGGUAAAAGUUCUUUGGAAUAGGACAUCAUAGAGGGUGAGAAUCCCGUAUUUGACCUUUACUUUCAACUUUGUGAUACACUUUCAAAGAGUCGGAUUGUUUGGGAAUGCAGUCCAAAAUGGGUGGUAAAUUUCAUCUAAAGCUAAAUAUUGGCGAGAGACCGAUAGCGAACAAGUACCGUGAGGGAAAGAUGAAAAGAACUUUGAAAAGAGAGUUAAACAGUACGUGAAAUUGUCAAAAGGGAAGCGUUUGACACCAGUGUUGUUUUUCUGAAAAUCAAUUAAAGAACUGUUUAUGCUAAGCUGUUUAGACUUUAUCAGCUAAUCUGUUCAGUUUUGAGCUUUUCUUUAAUGCACUUUUCAGUUAACAAGUCAACAUCAAUUUCUUUUGCUGUAAAAAAGCUUGAGGAAGGUGGCUUGAGAUUCGUCUUAAGUGUUUAUAGCCUCUUGCCUAUGCAGUCGGAGAGAUUGAGGUCUGCAGCGUAGAUCCUUCGGGGCUAAAUGCAUUUGUGCUAAGUUAUAGCAUUUUAUAGACAACUUGUUGACUAUGAUUUGUCUUGUAGCUUACUCGCUUAUGUUAUUUUACCUACGCUUAGGAUGUUGAUCUGUAGUGCGUGCGC
RNAcentral lists this ribosomal RNA (775 nucleotides) under uncultured Neocallimastigales. Its description in RNAcentral is "partial large subunit ribosomal RNA". It matches the Rfam family "Eukaryotic large subunit ribosomal RNA", at positions 24 to 647 of the family's 3401-position model. Lineage: Eukaryota; Fungi; Neocallimastigomycota; Neocallimastigomycetes; Neocallimastigales. The record is from RNAcentral.